RNAcentral lists this ribosomal RNA (492 nucleotides) under uncultured bacterium. RNAcentral's name for it is "partial 16S ribosomal RNA". It matches the Rfam family "Bacterial small subunit ribosomal RNA", at positions 30 to 507 of the family's 1533-position model. The record is from RNAcentral.
AUUGAACGCUGGCGGUAGGCCUAACACAUGCAAGUCGAACGGCAGCACAGUAAGAGUUUGCUCUUACGGGUGGCGAGUGGCGGACGAGUGAGGAAUACAUCGGAAUCUACUUUUUCGUGGGGGAUAACGUAGGGAAACUUACGCUAAUACCGCAUACGACCUACGGGUGAAAGCAGGGGAUCUUCGCACCUUGCGCGAUUGAAUGAGCCGAUGUCGGAUUAGCUAGUUGGCGGGGUAAAGGCCCACCAAGGCGACGAUCCGUAGCUGGUCUGAGAGGAUGAUCAGCCACACUGGAACUGAGACACGGUCCAGACUCCUACGGGAGGCAGCAGUGGGGAAUAUUGGACAAUGGGCGCAAGCCUGAUCCAGCCAUACCGCGUGGGUGAAGAAGGCCUUCGGGUUGUAAAGCCCUUUUGUUGGGAAAGAAAAGCAGCAGGUUAAUACCCCGCUGUUCUGACGGUACCCAAAGAAUAAGCACCGGCUAACUUCGUG